AUUUGAGUGAUGAUGACUAUUGUGUUUUGGACUAGAGUUUCUGAUGCUCCACUUUGUGGUAGUAUUUGAAGACCAAACCCUUGGCUGUCUGAACUCAAAU
Panicum virgatum (switchgrass) is the source of this 100-nucleotide small nucleolar RNA. RefSeq annotates it as small nucleolar RNA Z157/R69/R10. The transcript has a single exon. The record is from RefSeq and is a predicted model, not a curated record. NCBI's taxonomy places the organism in Eukaryota, Viridiplantae, Streptophyta, Magnoliopsida, Poales, Poaceae.